Molecule: ribosomal RNA, 102 nt
Filed under: Pyxine sorediata
Lineage: Eukaryota; Fungi; Ascomycota; Lecanoromycetes; Caliciales; Caliciaceae
Description: partial 28S ribosomal RNA
Rfam family: Eukaryotic large subunit ribosomal RNA
Source: RNAcentral
UAGGGAUACCCGCUGAACUUAAGCAUAUCAAUAAGCGGAGGAAAAGAAACCAACAGGGAUUGCCUCAGUAACGGCGAGUGAAGCGGCAACAGCUCAAAUUUG